This 1440-nucleotide ribosomal RNA is filed under the name Pantoea agglomerans. RNAcentral's name for it is "bacterial SSU rRNA". It matches the Rfam family "Bacterial small subunit ribosomal RNA". Lineage: Bacteria; Pseudomonadati; Pseudomonadota; Gammaproteobacteria; Enterobacterales; Erwiniaceae. The record is from RNAcentral.
GGCAUGCGCAGGCCUAACACACAAGUAACGGCAGCACAGAAGAGCUUGCUCUUUGGGUGGCGAGUGGCGGACGGGUGAGUAAUGUCUGGGAAACUGCCCGAUGGAGGGGGAUAACUACUGGAAACGGUAGCUAAUACCGCAUAACGUCGCAAGACCAAAGUGGGGGACCUUCGGGCCUCACACCAUCGGAUGUGCCCAGAUGGGAUUAGCUAGUAGGUGGGGUAAUGGCUCACCUAGGCGACGAUCCCUAGCUGGUCUGAGAGGAUGACCAGCCACACUGGAACUGAGACACGGUCCAGACUCCUACGGGAGGCAGCAGUGGGGAAUAUUGCACAAUGGGCGCAAGCCUGAUGCAGCCAUGCCGCGUGUAUGAAGAAGGCCUUCGGGUUGUAAAGUACUUUCAGCGGGGAGGAAGGCGGUGAGGUUAAUAACCUCGCCGAUUGACGUUACCCGCAGAAGAAGCACCGGCUAACUCCGUGCCAGCAGCCGCGGUAAUACGGAGGGUGCAAGCGUUAAUCGGAAUUACUGGGCGUAAAGCGCACGCAGGCGGUCUGUUAAGUCAGAUGUGAAAUCCCCGGGCUUAACCUGGGAACUGCAUUUGAAACUGGCAGGCUUGAGUCUCGUAGAGGGGGGUAGAAUUCCAGGUGUAGCGGUGAAAUGCGUAGAGAUCUGGAGGAAUACCGGUGGCGAAGGCGGCCCCCUGGACGAAGACUGACGCUCAGGUGCGAAAGCGUGGGGAGCAAACGAGGAUUAGAUACCCUGGUAGUCCACGCCGUAAACGAUGUCGACUUGGGAGGUUGUGCCCUUGAGGCGUGGCUUCCGGAGCUAACGCGUUAAGUCGACCGCCUGGGGAGUACGGCCGCAAGGUUAAAACUCAAAUGAAUUGACGGGGGCCCGCACAAGCGGUGGAGCAUGUGGUUUAAUUCGAUGCAACGCGAAGAACCUUACCUGGCCUUGACAUCCAGAGAACUUAGCAGAGAUGCUUUGGUGCCUUCGGGAACUCUGAGACAGGUGCUGCAUGGCUGUCGUCAGCUCGUGUUGUGAAAUGUUGGGUUAAGUCCCGCAACGAGCGCAACCCUUAUCCUUUGUUGCCAGCGGUUCGGCCGGGAACUCAAAGGAGACUGCCGGUGAUAAACCGGAGGAAGGUGGGGAUGACGUCAAGUCAUCAUGGCCCUUACGGCCAGGGCUACACACGUGCUACAAUGGCGCAUACAAAGAGAAGCGACCUCGCGAGAGCAAGCGGACCUCAUAAAGUGCGUCGUAGUCCGGAUUGGAGUCUGCAACUCGACUCCAUGAAGUCGGAAUCGCUAGUAAUCGUAGAUCAGAAUGCUACGGUGAAUACGUUCCCGGGCCUUGUACACACCGCCCGUCACACCAUGGGAGUGGGUUGCAAAAGAAGUAGGUAGCUUAACCUUCGGGAGGGCGCUUACCACUUGGGCA